RNAcentral lists this long non-coding RNA (15122 nucleotides) under Gossypium barbadense (sea-island cotton). Its description in RNAcentral is "long non-coding RNA (GBAR_LNC000026)". The record is from RNAcentral. Lineage: Eukaryota; Viridiplantae; Streptophyta; Magnoliopsida; Malvales; Malvaceae.
AGCUCCCACUAAACUCCAAUAGUACAAAAGGACAGAGACUAGUCAUUGAAGGAGAGGAGGGAUGGUGGAAAAAUGUAGAAUGGAAGGAUGAAUCCACUCGAAUUGCUUUUCUCCCUUCUUUCAAACCUCAUGUAUUCUAAGAAAUGUUGGAUAUUAAUUAAGGCUUAAAGCCUUGAUUGUAUCAUAACAUACCUCAUUGUAAGUUCUAUUUUGCCUAUCCUUAGAUUACAUGUAGCUUGGUUCUGUGUUUUACACACAGACUUUUUUUCUUUAGUAUGAAUUUGAAAAUAUAUUAUGUUAAUGAAUUAAAAUUUGAAAUAUAACUUUCAACAUAUCACAUCAUUUUCUUUUAAUUUUAUAACUAAAAAUUUCCAUAAUUAUAGUAAAAUUAAAAUUUUUCUUAUAAAAGUUGUUUUAGUUUGUAUUUCUGUAUAAAUUUGGAAUUUGGAAAUUUAAAAAAUUAAAAAUUUAAGUUUUAAUAAGUUAAUAAAAUAUAAUUUAUUUUCAUUUAUUAUACAUGUUAUCAAUAAAAAAAACUUAUUAAAUACUAAAUAUUUAGAAUUAUAUUAUAAUAAAAUAACGGUGACAUAAUAUAAUUUUUAAUAUUUUUAUAUUAAAACUCAUUAAUACAAAUUAUUAACAUUUUAGAAUUUUUUAUGAAUCUGAUAUCAUGCAAGUACAAAAAUUAACAUAUUUUUUAAUGAUGUUUCAAUGUUGAAAUAUGAUUAAAUGAUUAGAUUAGGGUGUUUCAAAUUUAAAUAUAUAUAAUAAAAAAAUUUAUUAUUAUACAACUUAUUGUGGCAACAACAAGAGGACAUGAGUUUGAGCACAAAUAAAUACAAAUUAUUCUUUUAUUCACACAUUUAAGAGUCUAUAAGUAGUAAUAGGAAAUGUAUAAAUUUUUUUAUUAUUUAUAUUGUUUUUUGCUUAAUAAUUUUCUUUAAAAGAAACUAACUUAUAGCAUUGUUUCGAUAUCAUAUAUGAGCCCGGCUUAAUCUGUAAAUAUCUUUACUCAAAUCUGAUUACUAAAAGUGAGAUUAUGUAUAUGAAUUCUCUAUAAUUAUAGACUCAUAAAUAAGUUAUUGCAAUUAAUACUCAAAUGGCAGUCUCUGAAUUUAAUAAGUUACAGCAAACUAAUUAGUUAAAUAUUUGAUGAGUAUAAUUAUUAGACAUCUCCUUCUCCUACUUCCUUUGCAUUUUGAAUUGAGCCCCUCUUGUAACACUAAAAUAACAUUAACAGGUAAAGAUUGUGUACAGAGGUAAGCAUACUAUACACAGUUUCAACUUGAUUUUGUAAUAUUUCCAUCAAAUAAUUUAUGCGUCAUAGUGUCAUAAUUAAGAGUGUAUGUCUACUUCUGCUGAUUCUCUUGUGUGGUGUGCUGAUAAUUUUGGGAAAUACUCGGUACUAGAUGGGUAUAAGCUGAUGAAAAAGUGAAAUCUUGUUUGUAUAUUGUUCUUUAUAUCCAGAAGAUGAUCUCUUUAAAAAAGAUGCAUUAAUACAUUGUAGGUAAUUAGUAAAUCAUGAAAAAAGUUAACACUGUAAUUUUUUAGUACUAAAAUCAUGAGAAAAAAUCGAAUACUAAAUGAUAUAUUAAAUCUUUAAAUAAAUAUUUACUUUAAAAUUUUAGAAACAAAAUUUUUUAAUUAAAUAAAAUAUAAAACCACUUAAAUUUAAUACAAUAUAUAAUUAUUUUUAUUAUUUUAAAUACUUUUUUAUAUAGUUUUUUUUAAUUUAAAACAAUUCUGGAAAAAAACUAUUUUUUUUCUGAAAACAUAUUUAUAAAUAUAAAUCUUUUUAAAAGAUUUAAAAAUAUAGUAUUUUAAUUAUAAUUGGUAAUAAUUUUAAAUCUUCGUACAUUUUUUAAUCAACAAAUUGUGAUAUAUUUUUAUCAUAUUUUUUAAUCAACAAAUUGUGCCCAUUUAUUUUAAAUUUUAAAUUAAUAAUUUAACUAUGUUUCAAAUAGAUAAUGUGUUGAAUUAAAAUAUGAAUAUUAAAGUUGAGUGGCACUCCACAAUAUUCACUACUACAUUUACUUACCACAACCUCAAUUAUUGCCCAUGUUGGAAGAGGACAGCAACUGUCCCUGAAAACUAUCUGACCAAAAUUUUCAUCCCCACAAUUAGGAUAUGCAAUUAGUUAUGGUUUAAUCAUAACAUCAAGCUCAUGAGCGAAAAUCCUCAUAUCUUUUUUAUUUUGUCUAUAGUGCUCAACUUACCUCCUCUGCAUUUUGAAUCUAGACACCUGCUUUGAAGGUUGAGAACCAGAUGAUUGCAGAGGGCAUUAAUUUUGCAAUAAGUUGGUGGCUGUACUACUUAAUAAUUACAUACUCACAAAGAUGUGUAAGCACAAUUUUUUAUAUGGAUUCCAUGUCUUUAAUUGGAUUAUGAUAACCCCUGAAAGAAUUUCUGAAUUCUUCCAUUGGCAUAUAUGGUCAUGAAUUCAGUUACCUUGAUCUUCCACUGUUUUCUGUUUUUUGCUGAUGUUUGUUUAAGUGGCAACGAUAGUGCUUGUGAAUAUCUCAUACAUGAAUGCUGUGGGAAGCUAAUGCAGGGCAAAGCAAGUUGUGAGUUUCUACCCAACAUGCUCAUCUUAGUCUUUCUUCUCUGAUGGGAUCUUAAUAAUUGAGGUUCCUUUAUCUUUGUUGAAGUGGAACCCUUUAAAGAAAGAGGCAGCUCCCAACUUGCCUGAUUUUGAUAAUGGACUAACUUUACACCUAAUAUGAAUAAAUUAAAAUAUGUUGUAUUAAUGUUGCUCAAGUUGUAAAAUAGAAUAAUAAAUUGCAUAUGGUAUCCACUGCACACAAAAGAUGCCUUACAAUGGGCCCAUUGUGUCAAAACCAAAUAAAGUGAGAUAAAAGAGAGCUGUGUGCAAUACAAGUCUUCCCACCAAGUCAAUGAUUUUACACACUUUACUGUAAUUAUCAUCAUAUUCACUAUCUCUUUUUUUUUUUUGGUAUCAAAAUGCAUGUGAACUUCCAACAGUUUGUCUUUGUUUUUCUCCUCUUUGUAGUCUCAAACUUUCAUAGAACUCCGUAAGCAUCUUUGAUUUAUUCCUUGCUUCUAUUUCCAGAUUGUUGAACUCACUCUUCUACAAUCAAAACCAGGUAUGGGUAAUAUCUUCUCAAUCUCACUUUCACUCGAUCCCAUCAUUACCCGUUGCUCGGAUUGUGCGACUGGACAGGCAAGUUAUAUAUGCAACCUCGAAGAUAACCUCCAUGCUUUACAAACUGAAGUAGCAGGACUGAAGGAGCUCAGGAGUGAUCUGAUGAGCAGGGUCAGAAUUGCUGAAGAUGAGCAGCGGCUUAAGCGGCUAAACCAAGUUGAGGGUUGGCUUUCGAGGGCUGAAACUCUGAUAAACGAUGCUGAUCAACUGAUUUUCCAAAGUUCUCAGCAUGUUGAUAAUCUAUGUAUGGGAGGUUGUUGCUCCACUCAUCCUAGGUCCAGCAUCAAGUUCGGGAAGCAAAUUGCCAAAAAACUCCAAGAGGUGAAAGACCAGAAGGAGAAUGGAGAUUUCAGUGAUGUGGCCAGCAAGCCACCACCUCCUUCAUCAACUGAAAGACCUAGUGAGCCAACUGUGGGUUUAGAGUUCUAUUUGAACAAGGUUUGGAGCUGUCUUCAAAAGGAACAAGUGGGAAUUAUUGGCAUAUAUGGCUUAGGAGGGGUUGGCAAGACAACCCUCCUAAACCAAAUCAAUAACAAAUUCCAUGAUACUACCCAUGAUUACCAUGUCAUUUGGGCAGUUGCAUCGCAAGAUCUGCCAAUUGAGAGAGUCCAGGAGCAGAUUGCCGAAAGAAUAGGCAUUUCUAAUAAUGGUUGGAAAUCUAUUGAUGAGAAAGCCGCGGACAUCUUCAACGUCUUACGUAAAAAGAAGUUUGCAUUGUUGUUAGAUGAUAUAUGGGAACGGUUUGAUCUCACAAGAGCUGGGGUACCUCUUCCAACACAAGGAAAUGGCUCUAAAGUCAUUUUCACAACUCGUCGUGUUGACGUGUGCUGUCAAAUGCAACCGAACAUGGAUAAUAAUAUCGGAGUGGAAUGUUUACCACCAGGAGAAGCUUUCAAACUAUUCGAGAAGAAGGUUGGAUCAGAAACCCUUCGAAUGCAUCCAGAUAUUUGCAAGUUAGCUGAAGCGGUGGUUGAAGAGUGUGCAGGACUACCUCUCGCUCUCAUUACAAUUGGGCGAGCCAUGGCAUCCAAGAAGACCCUUCGAGAAUGGGAAUAUGCCAUAGAAGUUUUAAGGCAAUCAGCAGCUUCUGUGUUGCCAGGGGUAGGGAAAGAGAUGUAUCCCAAGUUAAAAUUCAGUUAUGACUGUUUACCUGAUGAAAGGUUCAGAUCUUCUUUCUUGUAUUGUUCUUUAUAUCCAGAAGAUUAUUUCAUUGACAAAGACAAACUAGUAGAUUUUUGGAUCGGGGAAGGAUUUUUGGACGAGCAUACCAAUUUGAGCAGUGCCAGAAACCAGGGACAUUUCAUUAUAGGUUCUCUUAUUGACGCAUGCUUAUUGGAGAAACAAGGUAAUCAUCGUAUAAAGAUGCACGAUGUGAUUCGCGACAUGGCUUUGUGGAUUGCUGGUGAAUCUGAGAAGGAGAAGUUUUUUGUAAAAUCAGGUGUUCAGUUAAAGGAACAACCGAAAGCUAAAAAGUGGGAAGAGGUAACAAGAAUGUCGCUGAUGAGUAAUCAAAUUGAAAAUCUAACUGAGAUACUGGAAUGUCCCAAACUCCAAACUUUGUUUCUUGGCAGCAAUGAUUUGAAGGUAAUCAUGGAUGAUUUCUUUAAUUCUAUGCCGAUGCUAAGGGUUCUAGACUUGUCCUCCAAUUGGAAUUUGGAAGAAUUGCCGGUUGGAAUUGCAAAGUUGGUUUCACUAGAACAUCUCAAUUUGUCAGGUACAGGAAUAAGAAAGUUGCCAGUCGAAUUGAAGGCCCUAGCAAAGCUGAAAUAUUUGAAUCUGGAGUGGACACGCGAUCUAGAAAUGAUCCCACAACAAUUGAUAUCCAGUUUUUCCAAGUUGCAAGUACUGAAAAUGGUGAGAUGUGGCUAUGGAUGUUUAUUGGUUUUGGAGGAAAUGGAGCAUUUAAAACAUUUGAAUGUGUUGACCAUUACUUUUAGAAGCGCUUCGGAGUUGGAAAAAGCUUCGAGGUUCAACAAGUUCUUUAGCUGUGCCAUUGAAGUUGUAAGCCUUGAAGAUUUCAGAGAUUCAAGAUCAUUGACUAUUAUGGCUUUAGCAAAACUGCAGCAUCUAUGUACUUUAACACUCUCGAGGUGUUGGGAUCUAGAGGAAGUGAAGAUCGAACGUAACAUAACUGAAGGUGCAGGAUGCUUCCAUAGCCUUCGAACUGUAAUCCUAGACGAAUGCAAUCAUUUGAGGGAUGUGAGUUGGGUAACUUUUGCUCCACAUUUGGAAGAACUAUAUAUAUUGGAUUGCAAAGGUUUAGAAGAAAUCAUCAGUGAAGAAAAACUUGGUGAAGUCGCUGAGCUAAAAGGAAAUUCAAACUUGUUUUCUAAGCUAGAGAUUUUGCAUCUAUGGGGUUUACCCAAACUAAAGACUAUAUACCAGCAUGCUUUGCCUUUCCCACAGCUGAAGGAAAUAUACAUUAGACGAUGCCCAAUGUUAAAGAAGCUCCCACUAAACUCCAAUAGUGCAAAAGGACAGAGGCUGGUCAUUUUUGGAGAGGAGGGAUGUUGGAAAGAUGUAGAAUGGGAGGAUGAAUCCACUAAAAUUGCUUUUCUCCCCUCUUUCAGACCUUUUUAAUCUAAAAAAAGUUAGAAAUUAAGUCUUAAAACUAUUAUUGUAUCAUAACAUGUGUCAUUACAAGUUCUAUUUUGUUUAUCCCUAAAUUACAUGUAGUUUGAUUUUGUAUUUUACACUAAGACUUUUUCUUUAUAAAAGUAAAAUGUUUGAGUUUGAGAAUAUAUUAUGUUAUAAAGUAUAACUCUCAACACAUCACUUCAUUUUCUUUUAAUUCUAUAACUAAAAUUUUUGAUAAUUAUAGUAAAAUUAAAAUUUUUCUAUUCUGUAUAUUUAAAAAUGAGAUAAUUUUUGUUAUAGGAAAGUAUACUAUAAAUAUGUUUAUUAUAAAUUAGGAAUUUUAAAAAGAGAAAAUUUAAGUUUAAAUAUAAUUUACUUUUAUUCAAAAUGCAUGUUAUCAUAAGAAGAGGUGUUUCAUAAGCAUAAUAUCAAUAAAUCAUGUAAAAUUAGAUACUAAAUAUUGGAAAUUAUAUUGAGUGACAUAAUAUAAAUGCUAGAAUAUUUCAAUAUUUGUAUAUUAAAAUUCAUUAAUACAAACUACUAACAUUUUAAAAUUUUUAUGAUUAUUGAAUGCUACUACCAAAAUUCACAUAUAAUUUUUUAAAAAAAAUUAUUAUUCAUAUCUAAUAUUUAAAUGAAUUGGUGAUAUUAUUAGUUUUAAAUAAUUUUCUUUAAAAGUAACCAACUUAAUAGUUUCAGCAACCAAAUUAUUAAAUAGAAAAUUAAAGACAAACUUAACUUUUGGAAAAAAGGGUGAGAAAAUUAACUCUUUUUCAUUUGAAAAAUCAAUAGCUAUUUAAUUGCUUAUUUAUAUUUAUCUUUUUAUCUUUUUAUUAUUAAUUUUAAAAAUAAAUAAAACUAGACUUCUUACAUAUAUCUAUUAAAAAUUUAAAUGUUUUAGUUAUAAUUGUUGAUCAUACAUAAUGUUCCAUCUUAAUAUCUCAUUAUAAACAAAAUUAGACUUAAAUAAGUUUAAAAUUAAUCAUUUACAAAUAUCAACAAGCAAAAACUUGUAAGAUUUGAGCACUGAAUUGAUCUAUGACUACUUAUACUCAAAGUGAGAUUGUGUGUAUGAAUUCUGUAGAAUCACAGUCUCAUAAACAAGUUAUAACAAGUAUAACUUUCGACAUAUCAUAUCAUUUUCUUUUAAUUUUAUAACUAAAAAUUUCCAUAACUAUAGUAAAAUUUAAAAUUUUUCUUAUAAAUGUUGUUUUAGUUUGUACUUUUGUAUAUUUAAAUAUGAGAUAAUUCUUUAUAGGAAAGAAAAAUGUGUUAAGUAUAAAUUUGUAAUUUGGAAUUUUAAAAAAUUAAAUAUUUAAGUUUUAAUAAGUUAAUAAAAUAUAAUUUAUUUUCAUUUAUUAAACAUGUUAUCAAUAAAAAAAAUUAUCAUGUAACAUUAGAUACUAAAUAUUGAGAAUUAUAUUAUAAUAAAAUAACAGUGACAUAAUAUAAAUUUCAAUAUUUUUAUAUUAAAACUCAUUAAUACAAAUUAUUAUCAUUUUAAAAUUGUUUAUGAAUCUGAGAUCAUGCAAGUACACAUAUUAACAUAUUUUUUAAUGAUGUUUCAAUGUUGAGAUAUGGUUAUAUGAUUAGAUUAGAUUAGAGUAUUUCAAAUUUAAAUAUAUAUAUAUAUAAUAAAAAAAUUGGGGGAGAAUUAAAUGUAUACCAACCUCUUAAUUUCAUCUCGUCUCAAGUUUUAACUUAAUUAAUAUUGCUAUCAUGUCAAGGAAAAAAAUAUAAGUUCAAGUACACUUAAACACGUAUUAUCCUUAACUAAAUGUUUUUAUUUUUUUAAAUAAUUUUUUUAAAAAGAAACCAACUUACUAUUUUUAUAAAUUUAACAAAGCAAUCAAAUUAUUAAAUAGAAAAUUAAAGAUAAACAGAAUUAUAGGAGCUUAAAUUUUGGAAAAAAAAUGUGAGAAAAUUAACUUUAUCCAUUAUUUAUUAAAAUUCACAUAAAAAAUCAAUUAAUAUUUUAGUCACAAUAAUAAAAUUAAUGGUUUAUCAUACAUAAAUAUCUCAGUAUGAUCAAAUAUAUUUAAAAGUAAAAGCAAACUUAAAUAAAUUUAAAAUUAACAGUUUACAAAUAUAAACAAACUUAAGCAAAAUUUACAAAAAAAAAAAAAAACAAGUCUGAGAAUAAUCCCACAAUUGAUAUCCAGUUUCUCUAAGUUGCAGGUACUGAAAAUGGAGGGGUGUUGCUAUCAAUGUUCAUUGGUUUUGGAGGAAAUGAAGCAUUUAAACUAUUUGAAUGUGUUGACCAUUACUUUUACAAGCACUUUGGAGUUAGAAAAAGACUUGGGGUUUCAACAAGUUCAUUAGCUGUGCCAUUGAACAUGUAAGCCUUUAAGGUUUUAGAGAUUCAAGGUCAUUGAAUAUUUUGGCUUUAGCAAAUCUGCAACCUUUAUAUAGCUUAGAAUUUUCGGGUUAUAUGGCUAUUGAAGAAGUGAAGAUCGAAAGUAACAUAAUUGAAGGUGUAGGAUGCUUCCAUAGCCUUCGAUCUGUAUACCUAUUCGAUUGCAAUCAAUUGAGGGAUGCGAGUAAUUGGAUAAUUUUUGCUCCACAUUUGGAACAACUAUUUAUACGUGAUUGCCAAGGUUUAGAAGAAAUAAUCAGUGAGGAAAAACUUAGUGAAGUCGCUGAGCUAAAAGGAAAUUCAAACUUGUUUUCUAAGCUAGAGUUUUUGCAUCUAAAUAAUCUGCCCACAAUGAAGACAAUAUACGGACAUGCUCUACUUUUUCCGCAGCUGAAGAGAAUCACAAUUUUAAAUUGCCCAAUGCUGAAGAAGUUCCCACUAAACUCCAAUAGUGCAAAAGGACGAAGGCUCGUCAUUGAAGGAGACGAGGGAUGGUGGAAAGAGGUAGAAUGGGAGGAUGAAUCUACUCAAAUUGCUUUUUUCCCCUCUUUCAAACAUCGGUAAUCUACUAAAUGUUGGAUUUUAAUUAAGGCUUAAAGCCCUUAUUGUAUCAUAACAUACCUCACUCUUAAGUUCUAUUUUGUCUAUCUUUAAAUUACAUGCAGAUUGGUUCUUUGUUUUACACAACUUUUUCCUUUAAAUGAAUUAACCCAUUUUUAUAAUUUAAAUUUUUUUAUUACAUGUGGCAACAACAAGAGAACGUGAGUUUGAGCACAAAUAAAUACAAAUUAUUUUUUAAUUCACACGUUUAAGAGUCUAUAAGUAGUAAUAGGAAAUUUAUAAAAUUUUUUAUUAUUUAUAUUGGUUUUUGUUUAAUAAUUUUCUUUAAAAGAAACCAACUUAAGCAUUGUUUCGAUAUCAUAUAUGAGCCCGGCUUAACCUGUGAACAUCUUUACUCAAACCCGAUUACUUAAAGUGAGAUUAUGUAUAUGAAUUCUCUAGAAUUACAGACUCAUAAACAAGUUAUUGGAAUUAAUACUCAAAUGGCAGUAUCUGAAUUUAAUAAGUUACGGCAAACUGAUUAGUUAAAUGUUUGAUGAGUAUAAUUAUUAGACAUCUCAUUCUCCUACUUCCUUUGCAUUUUGAAUUUAGCCCCUCUUGUAACACUAAAAUAACAUUAACAGGUAAAGACUGUAUACAGAGGUAAGCAUAAUAUGCCUAAUUUCAACUUGAUUUUGUAAUAUUUCCAUCAAAUAAUUUAUGCGCCUUUAUCAUAGUGUUAUAAUUAAGAGUGUGUGUCCACUUCUAUAGAUUCUCGUGUGGUGUGCUAAUAAUUCUAGAAAAUACUCGGUACUCAGUAAGUAUAAGCUAAUGAAAAAGUGAAAUCUUGUUUCUGUAUUGUUCUUUAUAUCUAGAAGAUGAUCUCAUUGAAAAAUAUGCACUAAUACAUUAUAGGUAAUCAGUAUCAGAAAUGUUAUCACUGUACAUUUUGGGUGCUCAAGUCAUGAGAAAAAAUCAAAUAUUAAAUGAAAUAUUAGCUUUAAAAUUUUAGAAACAAAAUUUUUAAUUAAAUAAAAUAUAAAACCACUUAAAAUUUGAAUAUACUUAAUAUAUAUUUUUAAUAGGUAAAGAUAAAAAAGAUUUUCUUAAUAUAUUUAAAAUUUUAAAAAAAUGAAAUAUAUUAAAAAAUUAAAUAUAUUAAAAAGGUUAAGUAUAACCAAUUUUAAAAUUUUAAUAUAUUUUUAAAAAAUUAAAUAUAUUAAAAAAUGUUAAGUAUAACCAAUUUUAAAAUUUCAAUAUGUUCAAUAUAUUUUUAAAAUAUAUUUUAAAAUUUUAAUAUAUUUAAUAUAUAUUUUAAUAGGUAAAGAGAAAAAAAAUUUUAAUAUAUUUAAAUUUUUAAAAAACUUAAAAAAUUUUAAAUAUAUUAAAAUUUUAAAUAUGUUAAAGAAAAUAUUAAGUAUAACCAAUUUUAAAAUUUUAAUAUACUCAAUAUGUCAAAAUAUAUUAAAAUUUUGAACAUAUUAAAAAAUUUUGAAGUAUUAAAAUUUCAAAAUAUUUUUUAAUAGGUAAAGACAAAAAAAAAGUUUUUCUUAAUAUAUUUAAAAUUUAAAAAAAAAAGGGCGGGCAACUUUGGAAACCGAUGGCACCAAUUUAUUUAACUCCACCAAAAAAGGAAAAUUUUAUUUUUAAGUUCCUCUAUUUUUUUCAAAAAUUACAGUAUUUUCUUAAUAUUUAUACAAUAUAUAAUUAUUUUUAUUAUUUUAAAUACUUGUUUAUAUAGUUUUCUUUAAAAAAAAAUUAAAACAGUUUUGGGAAAAACCAAUUUUUCUGAAAACAUAUUUAUAAAUAUAAAUCUUUUUAAAAUAUUUUAAAAUAUAGUAUUUUAAUUAUAAUUGGUAAUAAUUUUAAAUCUUCGUAUAUUUUUAAUCAACAAAUUAUGAUAUAUUUUUAUCAUAUUUUUUAAUCAACAAAUUAGGCCCAUUUAUUUAAAAUUUUAAAUUAAUAAUUUAACUAUGUUCCAAAUACAAAACGUGUUGAAUUAAAAUAUGAAUAUUAAAGUUGAGUGGCACUCGACAAUAUUCACUACAUUUACUUACCACAACCUCAAUUAUUGCCCAUGUUGGAAGAGGACGGCAACUGUCUCUGAAAAUUAUCUGACCAAAAUUUUCAUCCCCACAAUUAGGAUAUGCAAUUAGUUAUGGUUUAAUCAUAGCAUAAAGCUCAUGAGUGAAAAUCCUCAUAUCUUUUUUAUUUUGUGUAUAGUGCUCAACUUACCUCCUCUGCAUUUUGAAUCUAGACACCUGCUUUGAAGGUUGAGAACCAGAUGACUGCAGAGGGCAUAAAUUUUGCAAUAAGUUGGUGGCUAUACUACUUAAUAACUACGUACUCACAAAGAUGUGUAAGCACAAUUUUUUAUAUGGGUUCCAUGUCUUUAAUUGGAUUAUGAUAACCCCUGAAACAAUUUCUGAAUUCUUCCAUUGGCAUAUAUGGUCAUGAAUUCAGUUACAUUGAUCUUCCACUGUGUUCUGUUUUUUUACUGAUGUGUCCAUUUUUAUGGAUUCUCGUGUGUUGUGCUAAUAAUUCUUAGAAAUAUUCUGCACUAAGUGGGUAUAAGCUGAUGAAAAAGUAAAAUCUGGUUUCAUGUAUUAUUCUUUAUAUCCAGAACAUGAUCUCAUUGAAAAAGAUACACUAAUAUAUUAUAGGUAGUCAAUUUCAGAAAUGUUAUCAUUGUAAUUUUUGGAUAAUAAAAUUAUGAGAAAAAAUCGAAUAUUAAAUGAUAUAUUAGCUUUAAAAUUUUAGAAACAAAUUUUUUAAUUAAAUAAAAUAUAAAACCACUUAAAUAAAAUAUAAAACCACUUACAAUUUGAAUAUGCUUAAUAUAUAUUUUUAAUAAGUAAAGAUAAAAAAGAUUUUCUUAAUAUAUUUAAAAUUUUUAAAAUUUUAAAAAAAUGAAUAUAUUAAAAUUUUAAAAAUAUUAAAAAAUGUUAAGUAUAAUCAAUUUUAAAAUUUUAAUAUGUUCAAUAUAUUUUUAAAAUAUAUUUUAAAAUUUUAAAAUUUUAAUAUAUUUUUAAUAGUUAAAGAGAAAAAGAUUUUUUAGUAUAUUUAAAAUUUUAAAAAAAUUUAAAAAAUUAAAUAUAUUAAAAUUUUAAAAUAUUUUUUAAUAGGUGAAGACCAAAAAAAAAGUUUAUUCUUAAUAUAUUUAAAAUUUUAAAAGGAAAAAAAAGGAGAGCAACUUUGAAAACGGGUGGCACUAAUUUAUUUAACUCCACUAAAAAAGAAAAUAUUUUAUUUUUUAGUCUCUCUAUUUUUUUAAAAAUUACAAUAUUUUUUUAAUAUUUAUACAGGUUGCGCAAUUUUACACGGCUCUACUAAAAAAUAUUUUUUUAUCUUAAUUGUUGACGUGACAUGUUAGUGUCGCCAAACUCUUUAGCUCUAUCAACUUUCACGAUAAAUUUUAAGUCACUUACGUGUUUAAUUAAAAAAAUAAAUUAUUUAUGUAAUUAAUUAAAAUUUUUUAAAUUAGUUUUAUAAAAAAAAAAUAUCAGCAUGCGAAAUUGGACUUCCAUUAUGUCAAUAAUUGAGGUUGAUUGUAAGUUGCAAAUGAGGGGAACGGUUUCCACACAGAAGACAAGAACGGCCUUUCAUCUGUCACAAAUAAAUAUCAGCAUGCCAAAUUGGACUUCCAUUUCCACGAAAAAGACAAGAAUGUCCUUUCAUUUGUCAUAAAUAAAUAUCAGUGUUAAUAAUUUACGUUGAUUGAAAUGAGGGGAAUGGUUUCCACACAAAAGACAAGAAGGUCCUUUUAUCUGUUUGGACUUACUGUCCACCCAUAAUGCCCUGCCCAAAGCUACCAAAAAAAGUGGAACCCUUGAAAGAGAAAGAGAGAAAUAGGUCCAACCUGUGAGUUUCUUUAUUGGAUCAUAACAGUAAAAAUACACGCAUGAUUUUGUUAGCUAAAAUUCUUUCUUUUAACAAAAUCAUAAAAUAUAUAAACUUUAUAAUAUUAAUAUUUAAUUUUCAUUAAAUUAACCAUAAAAUUUAAAUUAAAUACUAAAAAAUUAACAUUAUAAUCUUUGGGAACUAAAAAAAUAUAAUUUUUCUAAAAUACAAGUACUACAUUAGAAAAAAUUGUCGAACUUGAGUAUGAAAUGAUAUAUUAAGCUUUUUAAUAAAUAUUAACUUUAAAAUUUUAGAAACAAAUUUUUUAAUUAAAUAAAAUAUAAAACCACUUAAAUUUAAUACAAUAUUUAAUUAUUUUUUUAUUAUUUUAAAUACUUGUAUAUAUAUAUUUUUUAAAUUUAAAAUAGUUAUAGGAAAAAAAAUUUAUUGAAAACAUAUUUAUAAAUAUAAUUAAAUUUAAAUUUUCUAAAAAAACAUAGUAUUUUAAUUUUAAUUGUGAGUAGUUUAAAUUUAUAUACAUUUUUAAUUAACAAAUUGUAAAAUAUUUUUAGCAUAUUUUAAACACUUUGUAAACAUUUAUGUAAAAUUUUAAACAUCUUUGAUUAUUUUAUAUUUUAAUUAUUUUUUGGUACCAAAAAUACAUGUGAACUUCCAACGGUUUGUCUUUGUUUACCUGCGAAUCUUCUUUCUCUCUGUUUUUGUUUACCAAAAUAUUCUCUGUCUUUCAUAUAACUCCAUAAGCAUCUUUGAUUUAUUCCUUGCUUCUAUCUUCAGAAAUUGUUCAGCUCACUCUUCUAAAAUCAAAAACAGGUAUGGAUAAUAUCUUCUCAAUCUCACUUUCACAUGAUGCCGUCAUUACCCGUUGUUGGGAUUCUGCUGUUGGAAAGGCUGCUUUUCUAUGCAAAUUUGAAGAAAACUUCCACGCUUUAAAAAUUGAAGUGGAAGAAUUGAAGGCGAUAAGGACGGAUCUUAUGAGCAGGGUCAGGGUCGCUUAAGAUGACCCCAGGUUGAUCUUUUCCUUUAGAGGGCUAAUAAUGUGAUGUGAGUCUCAAGGCACAAUUUUAGACUCAUGAAUGUGAUGAGUUCACAUUACCUCAAGGCCCAACAAUAAUGUUAAAGGUUAAACAAAUCAAAUCAGGAUUCGAUCAAAGAUAAGAUUCGAGGACGAAUCUUUUUGAGGAAAGGGAGAAUGAUAUAUGCACAUAUGAGGUGGAAUUUAUUAAAUUUUAAUCACCAAAACUGCCAAUUUUCGGGCUUAAAAAAUUAGCAAACUUGCGACGACUUUUGAUGAGAAACAUUUCUGGGUUGAGAUGUCUUCAUGAGGUUUGAAGAUCUAUCUCUUAGCUUCAAAACGCAUUUAAAUCACUCGAUAAAGGAGCAACCGAAAGCUAAAAAGUGGGAAGAGGUAACAAGACUGUCGCUGAUGGAUAAUCAAAUUAAAAAUCUAACUGAGAUAUUGGAAUGUCCCAAUCUCCAAACUUUGUUUCUUGGCAGCAAUGAUUUGAAGGUAAUCAUGGAUGAUUUCUUUAAUUUCAUGCCGAUGCUAAGGGUUCUGGAUUUGUCCCAUAAUAUGAAGUUGGAAGAAUUGCCAGUAGGAAUUGCAAAGUUGGUUUCACUAGAACAUCUCAAUCUGUCAUUUACAGGAAUAAGAAAGUUGCCAGUCGAAUUGAAGACCCUAGCAAAGCUGAAAUAUUUGAAUCUGGAGUGGACACCGUAUCUAGAAAUGAUCCCACAACAAUUGAUAUCCAGUUUCUCCAAGUUGCAAGUCCUGAAAAUGGAGGGAUGUAGCUAUGGAUGUUUAUUGGUUUUAAAGGAAAUGGAGCAUUUAAAAUAUUUGAAUGUGUUGACCAUUAGUUUUAGAAGCGCUUCGGAGUUGGAAAGAGCUUCGAGGUUCAACAAGUCCUUUAGCUGUGCCAUUGAAGCUGUAAGUCUAGUAAAUUUUAGACAUUCAAGAUCAUUGACUAUUAUGGCUUUAGCAAAUCUGCAGCAUCUAUGUACUUUAACACUCUCGAGGUGUAUGGAUCUAGAGAAAGUGAAGAUCGAACGUAACAUAAUUAAAGGUGUAGGAUGCUUCCAUAGCCUUCGAUCUGUAAUCCUAGACGAAUGCAAUCAUUUGAGGGAUGUGAGUUGGGUAACCUUGGCUCCACAUUUGGAAGUACUAAGGAUAACUGAAUGCAAUGGUUUAGAAGAAAUCAUCAGUGAAGAAAAACAUGGUGAAGUCGCUGAGCUAAAAGGAAAUUCAAACUUAUUUUCUAAGCUCGAGAUUUUGUGUCUACAUAAUCUGGCCAAACUAAAGACUAUAUACCAUCAUGCUCUGCCUUUCCCACAGCUGAAGAAAAUCAGAAUAGUAAAAUGCGGAAUGUUGAAGAAGCUCCCACUAAACUCCAAUAGUACAAAAGGACAGAGACUAGUCAUUGAAGGAGAGGAGGGAUGGUGGAAAAAUGUAGAAUGGAAGGAUGAAUCCACUCGAAUUGCUUUUCUCCCUUCUUUCAAACCUUAUGUAAUCUAAGAAAUGUUGGAUAUUAAUUAAGGCUUAAAGCCUUGAUUGUAUCAUAACAUACCUCAUUGUAAGUUCUAUUUUGCCUAUCCUUAGAUUACAUGUAGCUUGGUUCUGUGUUUUACACA